GGGAUUAGAUACCCCUGUAGUCCUGGCCGUAAACGAUGUACACUAGGUGUCGGGGGAAUCGACCCCCUCGGUGUCGUAGCUAACGCGUUAAGUGUUCCGCCUGGGGAGUACGCACGCAAGUGUGAAACUCAAAGGAAUUGACGGGGGCCCGCACAAGCGGUGGAGUAUGUGGUUUAAUUCGAUGCAACGCGAAGAACCUUACCAGGGUUUGACAUCCUGCGAAUCCCUUAGAAAUUUGGGAGUGCCCUCGGGAGCGCAGAGACAGGUGGUGCAUGGCUGUCGUCAGCUCGUGUCGUGAGAUGUUGGGUUAAGUCCCGCAACGAGCGCAACCCACGUCUUUAGUUGCCAGCAUUGAGUUGGGCACUCUAGAGAGACCGCCGGUGAUAAACCGGAGGAAGGUGUGGAUGACGUCAAGUCAUCAUGCCCCUUACAUCCUGGGCUACACACGUACUACAAUGCUACGGACAAAGGGUUGCAAACUCGCGAGAGCUAGCUAAUCCCAUAAACCGUGGCUCAGUUCAGAUCGUAGGCUGCAACUCGCCUACGUGAAGGAGGAAUCGCUAGUAAUCGCAGGUCAGCAUACUGUGGUGAAUACGUUCCCGGGCCUUGUACACACCGCCCGUCACACCAUGGAAGUUGGCCACGCCCGAAGUCGUUACUCCAACC
RNAcentral lists this ribosomal RNA (666 nucleotides) under uncultured cyanobacterium. RNAcentral describes it as "bacterial SSU rRNA". It matches the Rfam family "Bacterial small subunit ribosomal RNA", at positions 774 to 1440 of the family's 1533-position model. Lineage: Bacteria; Bacillati; Cyanobacteriota. The record is from RNAcentral.